Molecule: long non-coding RNA, 2575 nt
Organism: Capsicum annuum
Lineage: Eukaryota; Viridiplantae; Streptophyta; Magnoliopsida; Solanales; Solanaceae
Exons: 2
Source: RefSeq, a predicted model, not a curated record
GUGCCCCUGUUAGGCGGAGCAUUUUGUGCCUGCACGUGGCACUUCUUUUACAACUCCGAGUCCCUUGAGAUAAGUAGAUGAAUUCUUAUUGUUCCUUUAAAGUAGGAAUUUCUACCAUGUUUGAUGAAUAUCAGGAGGUAUGAAAAAACAAAAACAAUUUAUGAGAUAAAAAGAAAGAAAAAUUGAUAUAUGAUCAAUUACAGAAACUUUCCAGAAAUUCAAUGAUAACCUCAUAAACUGCUCCACCCCCAGGGCUUAGUUCAAGUGUCAAGGGACUUGUGACUAGGUCACAAGACUAAGCCUCGUAUUUAUGUGGAAAAGGAUUGACUGGCGGGCCCAUUAUCCCCGAGUUUUGAAGGCUGCGAUUGGUCCUAAGCUUUGGCCCCAGACAGAUUUCUCUGUCAUAAAACAAAAUUAAAAAAAAAAAACUACUUGCCAGCUCUCGAUUUCUAUUUGCCUGCUUUAGCCUUAACUUAUCUGUGAAUUUGGAAGAGCUGGGGGUCCUGUCCUCGUAUAGUGACAUAUUUUAAGUGAAACGGAAAUUUAACUAUUGGUUAUACAUAGUUACACACCUUCGACUAUUGAUCUAAUACGAAGUGCUGUGAUAAACUUGAAAACUGUUGAAGUAUGAAGAGGAGAGUGGAGCAGAACCAAGAAGAAGGAAUAAUAGACUAGUUACUUUUCUGUUGUAUACACUCAGUUGCACAAGUACUAACGGCUAGUUAGUUAGUCCAUUCACUAGCCUAUAAAUGUAGAUGCCUAUGUACAUUGAAAGAUGAUGAAUACAACAGAAACUACUCACUCUCUAAUAAUCUCUCUCCUUACCUCAUACUUCUUCUUCUUCUUCUUCCUCUCAAUCUGUUCUUCAUCUGUUAUUCAUCUAAAGUUACUGCUAUCAAGUAGUAUAGCAGUGCAUGGCUAAUGACAUGGUGUCAGAGCUUUACUCACUAGCAAACUAGUAGAGCAAGAUCGAUUCUGGUGUAUUAGUUUCUUCACGGAAAAAUCAAAGAAUCUUGAAUCAAGAAUUGAAGGUUUGCAACAAUGGUGAAUCAAAAUGCUUUUGUUGAUCCUGCUGUGGGUUCCAGAGUUACUCCAAGUACCUUGGAUUACAAUCAUCCUCUCUUGUCCUUCUGAUGUGAGUGGCAUACAAAUCAUUUCUUUUCAGUUAACAGGAGUUGAGAACUUCUCAAUCUUGUUUAGAUUCAUGUGCAUUGCUUUACUAGGGAGAAAUAAGCUGGGCAUGGUUGAUGCAACAUGCUCUAAAGACAAGUUCUCUAUUGAAUUAAGCAGUCAUUGGGAGAGAGUGAAUGCAAUUGUACUUUCAUGGAUCAUGAAUUCUGUUUCUAAAGAGUUGGAGGAAUUAUGUAUGCAUCUAUGGCUAGUGCUGUCUGGAAUGAACUGUUUGAAAGGUUUAACUAAGUGUAUGGGGCCAGAUGAUUCAACCUGCACAAGGAGAUUGCUAUAUUGUCUCAAGGUACAGCCUCAGUAUCUGUGUAUUUCUCAAGACUUACCUGAAUGUGAAUGUAAUAAAUCAAAGGAGUACUACAUUUGCAAAAACUGAAGCUGUUACAGUUUCUUAUGGGUCUAAAUGAGUCCUACACACAAGCAAGGAGUCAAAUCUUGCUUAUGACCCCUCUCCCAAAUGUUAACCAAGCUUAUGCAAUGAUAGUAAGUGAUGAAAGUCACAAAUCUAUUGCAAGUCAGGUAGGGAUUCUGGGUAUGAAUCCUGCAACUAAUGGGAAGAAUCUUAAUCUAGCCAUGUAUGCAAGAAAUGGAGCAGGUGGAAGCCAAGGCCAAAAGUACAAAAGAAAUGCCACUGUGCAAUGUGAUUUCUGUAAACUUAAAAGGGCAUACUAAAGAGAACUGCCGGAAAUUGGUUGGUUAUCCUCAAGACUAUAAGGCUAAGAAGAAGCUCAGGCAUGAAGGGUCAAACACAACCUAUAAUGUGUCUUUGAGUUCUCAUGACUAUCCAGUGGAUCAAAAUGGUUACGACACUAAAGAUGCAGGACAAUCAGUAACUGUAAGUAGUCAGAUGACUCAACUAAGUCAUCUUGGAAAUGCAGCCUUUACAAAGGAGCAAUAUGAGCAAAUCUUGCAACUGAUAAACAAGAAUAACUCUGUCAACUGUCAACACAUCCAUUGAGUCUGCCAAUGUAACAAGUGCAGGAUCUUUAUACUGGAAAGGUGAAGGGGAUUGGGAAGCUUGAUGGAGGCUUAUAUAUACUAGAAGAUCAGUCAAAGAAUAAAGUUGCAGUAGCAACUAAAGCAACUACUGAAGUAACUAUGGAAAAGACAUAAGCUGAAGUGGAUUUGUGGCACCAAAGGUUGGGACAUGCUUCAACUGGUGUGUUGAAAAGGAUUGUAGAUCAAGGAGUACAAGUCAUAGAAGAUAGAAUAAAGCAAUGUAGCAUUUGUCCUAGAGCUAAACAGACUAGAUUACCAUUUUUGUCAACUAAUAUUCAAAGUACUUGUUAUUUUGAUCUUGUGCACAUGGAUUUGUGGGGACCAUACAAAGUGCCAACCAUGAAUGGUAACAAAUAUUUUCUUAUAGUUGAUGAUGAUUUUUCAAGGUUUA